GCUCGUCGUCCUACAUCAGUUCUCCGCCGAAAAAAACUAGACAUCGUCGAGUUAUGAACAUCAACACAAGAACAAUCACAUCAGAUCACCAAGUCAUUGCAAGCUUCAAAUUUGGCAUGUCAAGAGCACAAAUAAGAGUGAAUUUGAUAUUUGCCUAAUCGAAUAGAUAUUAGCACGAGCAUCAUGUUAGGCAUGACGAUCCCAUAGCCAUUUACGCCUUAAGAUAAUGUGAAACCUUAAGGGGUAGAACAUCACACAUAACGAUAUCCUUAAGCUUUCCAACGGAAAAUAUAACCAAACACCUCUGCUAACCCGCAACCUUGUAUUGGUAAUCUAUGCAACAUCCUACGGCUCCGGGUGAGGCUCAACUUUUAACCCAAAUUUCUUAACUGCUCCCCCAGAGAUAACAUCCGUAUAACUCCCAGUAUCAAUCACAAGAGAGCACACAUGUCCUGCACAUGACUUGUCUGAAAAAUUCGCCCACGAUGAAUUUUAGGAUCAUCCUUAUGUUUCUGAGCAACAAGUAAAGGUCAAAGAACACCUAAACAUCCUUCCAAAUGAGCAUCAACUUCUAACUCUUGCUCAUCGAGCUCAUAUUCGACGUCUAACGGUUUGUAAACCUCUUCGUUCAAGUCAUUUUUCUCGCACUAUUUGUCAACAAUAGCUAGUUGCCUAGAGGGAGAAGAGGCAACAAUCAUCUUCGGGGAAGUACACUCAAAAGACAUGACCAAAACCACAACAGUUAUAGCAUGUAGACGUAUGGUUGUUGUUAGCAUUAAAAGAACAUGUGGUUAGGGGUGCUCAUCGGUAAAAAACCAAACUGGGAUCCGAAAUUACCGGAAAAACAAGAACCGAAACUGGUACCGGAUUACUGGUUUUGAUACCGAUUUUUUCGAUUCAAUUUUCG
RNAcentral lists this long non-coding RNA (907 nucleotides) under Panax ginseng (ginseng). RNAcentral describes it as "long non-coding RNA (PGIN_LNC017468)". Lineage: Eukaryota; Viridiplantae; Streptophyta; Magnoliopsida; Apiales; Araliaceae. The record is from RNAcentral.